This 66-nucleotide transfer RNA is filed under the name Potamiscus motuoensis. Its description in RNAcentral is "tRNA-Ser". Lineage: Eukaryota; Metazoa; Arthropoda; Malacostraca; Decapoda; Potamidae. The record is from RNAcentral.
AGAAUAUUUAAGUAAAAAGGAAACUUCUAACUUCCUAUAAAGCGGUUAAACUCCGUUUAUAUUCUA